Non-coding RNA from Drosophila virilis, 801 nucleotides. NCBI's taxonomy places the organism in Eukaryota, Metazoa, Arthropoda, Insecta, Diptera, Drosophilidae. The record is from RefSeq and is a predicted model, not a curated record.
UGUCAUACAAUACAAAAUUAAAUAUAAUAUCUAACAUAUUAAUGCUGUGUUUUGAAAAUCUUUAUGGUUGAGAUAUGCGUGAGAACCGUUUUACAUAUGUUUGAUUUGCGAUAAAGUUUUGGACUUUUAAUUUGAAUACAUUUUUUUUGCAAAUGCGACUCAUUCAAAAUGUCAAGGCUGCACUAUGGAUGCCCGACAAAGGGAUGUUGUUCUAAACCUCUUGCUGUAGCGGCAACAUUUGCGGCCCUUUCAGCUAUAUCCACAACCUGAAUUGUUGCAUCCCGAACAUUUUGUCCAAUGCGCUCCUGAAAACGUGAAAUUUAUAGGUAUAUAUCAUUAGUUAUUAGGAAAUGUAACUAUUAUGAUUUAUCUGGAAGUUAAAAACUUAAUCUCUGUGCUCUUUUGGCUUACAAUUCUCUUGCCAAGCCUUUUCCAAAAGUCGGCCUUAGCUUCUCCCAUGCAAAUAGCCAAAAGCAGCACAACGAAGAUAAAGAUCUUGUAGAAAUUCAUGUUCGACUUGGUAACAAAACUGGCUAUGUUGCUGGAGCAAUCGGAACCGAAAGACUGAUGACCCACUGGACCGGCAGUAGAUGCUUUUAUAUCCAUCAUCAACAAACGGGAUUCGAAUUUAAAGGGGAACUUUUGUUUGCCAGAAAUUUCAUGAAACAAAUUUUGAUAUAAAUCAUCAAGUGUGAUUCAUGGGAAAGUCAAUGUUUCAUUUAAAGCGUGUCAAGCUAUGUGAAACAAGAUGUUUGCGAUAAAUUAUUAACAUUCGUAGAACUAAUAAAAUAAUAAAUGCAA